GACGAACCCGUGCGAACGUUGUUCGGAAUCACUGGGCUUAAAGGGCGCGUAGGCGGCUUGCCAAGUCAGGGGUGAAAUCUUUCGGCUUAACCGGAAAAUAGCCUCUGAUACUGGCGAGCUCGAGUGAGGUAGGGGCCGUUGGAACUUCCGGUGGAGCGGUGAAAUGCGUUGAUAUCGGAAGGAACGCCGGUGGCGAAAGCGAACGGCUGGACCUCUUCUGACGCUGAGGCGCGAAAGCCAGGGGAGCAAACGGGAUUAGAACUCC
Molecule: ribosomal RNA, 265 nt
Filed under: uncultured bacterium
Lineage: Bacteria
Description: partial 16S ribosomal RNA
Rfam family: Bacterial small subunit ribosomal RNA
Source: RNAcentral